This 428-nucleotide ribosomal RNA is filed under the name Actinomycetes bacterium. RNAcentral describes it as "Actinobacteria bacterium partial 16S ribosomal RNA". It matches the Rfam family "Bacterial small subunit ribosomal RNA", at positions 355 to 776 of the family's 1533-position model. The record is from RNAcentral. Lineage: Bacteria; Bacillati; Actinomycetota; Actinomycetes.
UAGGGAAUCUUCCGCAAUGGGCGAAAGCCUGACGGAGCAACGCCGCGUGAGUGAUGAAGGUCUUCGGAUCGUAAAACUCUGUUAUUAGGGAAGAACAAAUGUGUAAGUAACUAUGCACGUCUUGACGGUACCUAAUCAGAAAGCCACGGCUAACUACGUGCCAGCAGCCGCGGUAAUACGUAGGUGGCAAGCGUUAUCCGGAUUAUUGGGCGUAAAGCGCGCGUAGGCGGUUUUUUAAGUCUGAUGUGAAAGCCCACGGCUCAACCGUGGAGGGUCAUUGGAAACUGGAAAACUUGAGUGCAGAAGAGGAAAGUGGAAUUCCAUGUGUAGCGGUGAAAUGCGCAGAGAUAUGGAGGAACACCAGUGGCGAAGGCGACUUUCUGGUCUGUAACUGACGCUGAUGUGCGAAAGCGUGGGGAUCAAACAGG